Molecule: ribosomal RNA, 76 nt
Filed under: Gongora sp. SRR-2011
Lineage: Eukaryota; Viridiplantae; Streptophyta; Magnoliopsida; Asparagales; Orchidaceae
Description: partial 18S ribosomal RNA
Rfam family: Eukaryotic small subunit ribosomal RNA
Source: RNAcentral
CCCUUGAACCUUAUCUUUUAAAGGAAGGAGAAGUCGUNACAAGGUUUCCGUAGGUGAACCUGCGGAAGGAUCAUUG